UACGAAGGGGGCUAGCGUUGCUCGGAAUGACUGGGCGUAAAGGGCGCGUAGGCGGAUGUGACAGUCAGACGUGAAAUUCCUGGGCUCAACCUGGGGACUGCGUUUGAGACGUUAUAUCUAGAGUGAGGAAGAGGGUUGUGGAAUUCCCAGUGUAGAGGUGAAAUUCGUAGAUAUUGGGAAGAACACCGGUGGCGAAGGCGGCAACCUGGUCCUUUACUGACGCUGAGGCGCGAAAGCGUGGGGAGCAAACAGG
This 253-nucleotide ribosomal RNA is filed under the name uncultured bacterium. RNAcentral describes it as "partial 16S ribosomal RNA". It matches the Rfam family "Bacterial small subunit ribosomal RNA", at positions 524 to 776 of the family's 1533-position model. The record is from RNAcentral. RNAcentral also lists the same sequence under 1 other name.